This 115-nucleotide ribosomal RNA is filed under the name Cordylochernes scorpioides. The record is from RNAcentral. Lineage: Eukaryota; Metazoa; Arthropoda; Arachnida; Pseudoscorpiones; Chernetidae.
ACGGCCAUACCACAUUGAAAACACCGGUUCUCGUCCGAUCACCGAAGUUAAGCAAUGUCGGGCCUGGUAAGUACUUGGGAGAGUGACCACCUGGGAACACCGGGUGUUGUAAGCA